Long non-coding RNA from Megalobrama amblycephala (Wuchang bream), 693 nucleotides. RefSeq lists it as uncharacterized. The record is from RefSeq and is a predicted model, not a curated record. NCBI's taxonomy places the organism in Eukaryota, Metazoa, Chordata, Actinopteri, Cypriniformes, Xenocyprididae. The transcript is spliced from 3 exons.
UACAGGCCUUAAAAAAAAAAAAAAAAAAAAAAUGCUUGGAAACUGAUUACUAAUUAUUUUAUGGUCUUUUAUGUACUUUGGGUCUUCAAGUGGAAUGGAGGCAUGCAGGAGGUGCAUAGUUGGUAUACAUUUUACAAGAGUAGUAAGAAAUAUAAGCAUUACUGAAUUACAGUAUACAUUAAUCGAGAAGCUGACAUGACGUUGUUACCAGUUAAAACAUUUACAUUGGCAAUGUGGUAAUCAUUGAAUGCAAGUUUUUAUUAGUAAUAAUAAUAACACUACUCAUACUAUUCUCAUAUUCACCCACACACACAUCCGAUAAAGACAUAGACUUAAAGUAUGAGAAAUAAGAGAGAAUGAAGUUCAUCAAGUCUUACAUUAGUAGUCUUACACCCCUUUUUUCCACUAGAGGGAGACCAUAUGUGACAUUUACUUGGAUGACUGAAAGGGUUCAGGUCUUCACUGAUCCAUUUGAUGUCUGAUGAUGACAUAACAUUUUGGAAUGAAAAUACAGAUCAGUAAACUAUAACUGGAAGCUAAAAUGGCAAAUAUCUCAACAGCUACAGUUAACUUUCCAGGUGUGCUCAGAACACAGGAGAUACAGAGUACAAAAGUGAUGCCAAAUGCUGUGUGACGCAACAUACAGGACCACUCAGUGGGCCGACCAAUGAAAGUAAGUGAACAGAGGAAACA